AAAAAACAUAAAAGUAAAAAUAUUUUACAAUGAUGUGUGAACUAAUAGCAUUCAUUGGUCAGGUAGUGCUUCAGUAGUCGGCGGUGCUUCAGCAGUCGGCGGGGCCACAGAAGGAGGAGGCAACAGAGGUUGAUUCUUUGGAGCUUCAGCAGUUGGCGCAGCUCCAGAAGACGAAGGCAGAUGCUGUUGGAACAAACCCACAAACCUCCGAUGAUCAAGUAAAAUUUGACCAUCAGUGUCCUGCAUCUGGUCAAUUUUCCUCUUCAUGUUGGUGGCAUAGUUGUGUGCGAGCUUGUGCAAUUGUUUAUUUUCAUGCUUGAGU
Molecule: long non-coding RNA, 322 nt
Filed under: Malus domestica (apple)
Lineage: Eukaryota; Viridiplantae; Streptophyta; Magnoliopsida; Rosales; Rosaceae
Description: long non-coding RNA (MDOM_LNC001840)
Source: RNAcentral